RNAcentral lists this ribosomal RNA (702 nucleotides) under uncultured bacterium. Its description in RNAcentral is "bacterial SSU rRNA". It matches the Rfam family "Bacterial small subunit ribosomal RNA", at positions 8 to 705 of the family's 1533-position model. The record is from RNAcentral.
AGAGUUUGAUCAUGGCUCAGAUUGAACGCUGGCGGAAUGCUUUACACAUGCAAGUCGAACGAUGAACCCUAGCUUGCUAGGGGGAUUAGUGGCGAACGGGUGAGUAAUAUAUCGGAACGUGCCUUGUAAUGGGGGAUAACUAGUCGAAAGAUUAGCUAAUACCGCAUACGCCCUGAGGGGGAAAGUAGGGGAUCUUCGGACCUUACGUUAUAAGAGCGGCCGAUAUCUGAUUAGCUAGUUGGUGGGGUAAUGGCCUACCAAGGCUUCGAUCAGUAGCUGGUCUGAGAGGACGACCAGCCACACUGGAACUGAGACACGGUCCAGACUCCUACGGGAGGCAGCAGUGGGGAAUUUUGGACAAUGGGCGCAAGCCUGAUCCAGCCAUUCCGCGUGAGUGAAGAAGGCCUUCGGGUUGUAAAGCUCUUUCGCAAGGGAAGAAAACUUACAUUCUAAUAAAGUGUGAGGCUGACGGUACCUUGAUAAGAAGCACCGGCUAACUACGUGCCAGCAGCCGCGGUAAUACGUAGGGUGCGAGCGUUAAUCGGAAUUACUGGGCGUAAAGCGUGCGCAGGCGGUUUGGCAAGUCAGAUGUGAAAUCCCCGAGCUCAACUUGGGAACUGCGUUUGAAACUGCCAGACUAGAAUAUGUCAGAGGGGGGUAGAAUUCCACGUGUAGCAGUGAAAUGCGUAGAGAUGUGGAGGA